UCACUUACCUGGCCGGGGUCAAUCUGUGAUCAUGAAGGCGGAUGGCCUGGGACGAGCUGCUUCCAUUGCACUCCGGUCGCGGUGAAUCCCAGUAACACCCUACGGGGUGUCUACACGGCACAAUUUGUGGCAGCCGGGGCUCGCGUUCGCGCGGCCCCUGC
This is a non-coding RNA of Klebsormidium nitens, 161 nucleotides long. The record is from Rfam. Lineage: Eukaryota; Viridiplantae; Streptophyta; Klebsormidiophyceae; Klebsormidiales; Klebsormidiaceae.